Molecule: ribosomal RNA, 407 nt
Filed under: uncultured bacterium
Lineage: Bacteria
Description: bacterial SSU rRNA
Rfam family: Bacterial small subunit ribosomal RNA
Source: RNAcentral
UCGAGAAUAUUCGACAAUGGGCGAAAGCCUGAUCGAGCGACGCCGCGUGCAGGAUGAAGGACUUCGGUUCGUAAACUGCUUUUCCACGGGAAAAAACAAAUGAUUGUACUGUGGGAAUAAGGGGUGGCUAACUUCGUGCCAGCAGCAGCGGUAAUACGAAGGCCCCGAGCGUUAUCCGGAUUCAUUGGGCGUAAAGGGUGCGUAGGUGGUUUUGUACGUUUCCUGUUAAAUCUCACCGCCCAACGGUGAGACCGCAGGGAAUACGGCAAGACUAGAGGGUGCGAGAGGUCUGUGGAACUCACGGUGUAGGGGUGAAAUCCGUUGAUAUCGUGGGGAACACCAAAGGCGAAGGCAGCAGACUGGCGCAUUUCUGACACUGAGGCACGAAAGCGUGGGGAGCAAAAAGG